This 254-nucleotide ribosomal RNA is filed under the name uncultured bacterium. RNAcentral describes it as "partial 16S ribosomal RNA". It matches the Rfam family "Bacterial small subunit ribosomal RNA", at positions 524 to 776 of the family's 1533-position model. The record is from RNAcentral.
UACGUAGGGUCCGAGCGUUGUCCGGAAUUACUGGGCGUAAAGAGCUCGUAGGUGGUUUGUCGCGUUGUCCGUGAAAACUCACAGCUUAACUGUGGGCGUGCGGGCGAUACGGGCAUCACUGGAGUUCGGCAGGGGAGACUGGAAUUCCUGGUGUAGCGGUGAAAUGCGCAGAUAUCAGGAAGAACACCCGUGGCGAAGGCGGUUCUCUGGGACGGUACUGACGCUGAGACGCGAAAGCGUGGGGAGCGAACAGG